UACAGAGGUGGCAAGCGUUGUUCGGAAUUACUGGGCGUAAAGGGCGCGUAGGCGGCCUUCUAAGUCAGACGUGAAAUCCCCCGGCUUAACCUGGGAACUGCGUCUGAUACUGGAGGGCUUGAGUGCGGGAGAGGGAUGUGGAAUUCCAGGUGUAGCGGUGAAAUGCGUAGAUAUCAGGAGGAACACCGGUGGCGAAGGCGGGAUCCUGGGCCAGUACUGACGCUGAGGAGCGAAAGCGUGGGGAGCAAACAGG
This 253-nucleotide ribosomal RNA is filed under the name uncultured bacterium. RNAcentral's name for it is "partial 16S ribosomal RNA". It matches the Rfam family "Bacterial small subunit ribosomal RNA", at positions 524 to 776 of the family's 1533-position model. The record is from RNAcentral.